RNAcentral lists this long non-coding RNA (284 nucleotides) under Jatropha curcas. RNAcentral's name for it is "long non-coding RNA (JCUR_LNC002991)". Lineage: Eukaryota; Viridiplantae; Streptophyta; Magnoliopsida; Malpighiales; Euphorbiaceae. The record is from RNAcentral.
AACCAUCCUCAAUCUCAAUUUCAUAAUCAAAAACAUUUUUUACAAACCAUUUAUGUAUACUUGGAGUAUACUGGAUUUUUGGCAAAUCCACAGCCAUCAACGGAUUUGAUAAGUCUUUACUGUCUACCGUUUGAGACAGACUAGCCGUACCAUGAACGGGUACGAUCGCUUUAGGUGUAGAAGACAUACCUGGCGCCUCUGUGGAAGAGGACGCUAUACUUUGUAACGCCUUUAACACUUCAGGGGAUUGACUUAACUGUUCAAUCCAUUUUUGAAGAGCGGGA